RNAcentral lists this small RNA (456 nucleotides) under Pan troglodytes (chimpanzee). Its description in RNAcentral is "processed transcript". Lineage: Eukaryota; Metazoa; Chordata; Mammalia; Primates; Hominidae. The record is from RNAcentral.
GCUCCCGAAGCCGUUCGCCUGCUGCGGGCGCGUCCUCGGGCCUAGGGAGGGGCGGGUCGCCCUCCUGUCCUGCCCGUGUUAACCAGAGAAGACCCCUGGCCUGGGCAGUAAGCCAGGGGGCGUCAGGAAACGCCCCCUAGAAAGUGGCUCUGAAGUUGACACCCGUCCUACUGCAUGGCAGGACUCAUUCCCGUGAACAUCACUUUGCAGCUGCGUUUAUGUUGCAAUAACUGGAACUACUCUUCUAAGUUUGUUUUCUUUGUAUGAAUUCCCGGCAAGUUCGUUUUACUAAAAGCACCAAAGGUUUUCACCAGACAUAACAGCUUCCUGAGGUAUUCCAACUUUAUUAUAUGGACUUGGCUCCUGGUUAUUUGCCAGAGUCACAGAGACUGUGCAUACCAGUUAUGGACCCAUAACAGUUUAUUUUCUCAAUAAAGAAGAUGAAGGUGCCAUGUA